Molecule: ribosomal RNA, 373 nt
Filed under: uncultured bacterium
Lineage: Bacteria
Description: bacterial SSU rRNA
Rfam family: Bacterial small subunit ribosomal RNA
Source: RNAcentral
GUAGGGGGCAAGCGUUGUCCGGAUUCAUUGGGCGUAAAGCGCGUGUAGGCGGCCAGGUAGGUCCGACGUGAAAACUGGAGGCUCAACCUCCAGCUGUCGUUGGAAACCAUCUGGCUAGAGUCCGGAAGAGGAGAGUGGAAUUCCUGGUGUAGCGGUGAAAUGCGCAGAUAUCAGGAAGAACACCAAUGGCGAAGGCAGCUCUCUGGGACGGUACUGACGCUGAGACGCGAAAGCGUGGGGAGCGAACAGGAUUAGAUACCCUGGUAGUCCACGCCGUAAACGAUGGGCGCUAGGUGUGGGCGGUGUCGACUCCGUCCGUGCCGAAGCUAACGCAUUAAGCGCCCCGCCUGGGGAGUACGGCCGCAAGGCUAAA